GUGUCAGCAGCCGCGGUAAUACGUAGGUGGCAAGCGUUGUCCGGAAUUAUUGGGCGUAAAGGGCUCGCAGGCGGUUUCUUAAGUCUGAUGUGAAAGCCCCCGGCUCAACCGGGGAGGGUCAUUGGAAACUGGGGAACUUGAGUGCAGAAGAGGAGAGUGGAAUUCCACGUGUAGCGGUGAAAUGCGUAGAGAUGCGGAGGAACACCAGUGGCGAAGGCGACUCUCUGGUCUGUAACUGACGCUGAGGAGCGAAAGCGUGGGGAGCAAACAG
RNAcentral lists this ribosomal RNA (271 nucleotides) under uncultured prokaryote. Its description in RNAcentral is "partial 16S ribosomal RNA". It matches the Rfam family "Bacterial small subunit ribosomal RNA", at positions 505 to 775 of the family's 1533-position model. The record is from RNAcentral.